GCCGGGCAUGGUGGCAUAUGCCUGUAAUCCCAGCAGCGCAGGAGGCUGAGGCAAGAGGAUCGCGAGUUCAAAGCCAGUCAGCAAAAGCGAGGCAUUAAGCAACUCAGUGAGACUCUGUCUCUA
RNAcentral lists this small RNA (123 nucleotides) under Marmota monax (woodchuck). The record is from RNAcentral. Lineage: Eukaryota; Metazoa; Chordata; Mammalia; Rodentia; Sciuridae.